UUACUACUCCCUCCGUCCGAAAAAAAGCUUGGGACCAAGCUUGUGCCUUAAAUGGAUGUAUCUAGCACUAACUUGGUGCUAGAUACAUCCAUUUGAGGGACAAGCUUUUUCGGACGAAGGAAGUACAAC
Triticum aestivum (bread wheat) is the source of this 129-nucleotide non-coding RNA. The record is from Rfam. NCBI's taxonomy places the organism in Eukaryota, Viridiplantae, Streptophyta, Magnoliopsida, Poales, Poaceae.